UCUGUGAUGUUAUGCCUGCCCAGGGCCAUUACUAAUUAAAUGUGAGCCAAUCUGAUGCAAUUAAGAAUUUGAAUGACAUGGAAUCUAAAUCAAUGGGGUGUGCUAACUUAAAGAAAAGAUGAUGUAGAACUGGAAAGCCAUUUUCAUUUUUGUGUUGUGUAGGCGCUGUGGCAGAGAAAGCUGGACACCAGUGAGAAGCAGGAGAGGAAAGCAAAGAUUUCAUACCACUUUGACCAAACAAACAGAGAUGGAUUUUUGCACUUUUCACAUUCCCAGUCUCUCUGUUGGGACUACCUGACCUGGUGUUCCUUUUGAGUUAGCCUUCAGAAUUGAACUGAAACCAUCAGCUAAUACCAUCUGCUCUCCUCGGUCUCCAGCUUGCUGACUGCAGAUCUUGGGAUCUCUAAAGCCUCCAUAAUCAUCUUUGUGCCAGCAACAAAAGCUAUUCGUCACUGGCCUUGGGAAGGGAUCAAGAGGUUGGAAAGGAGGCAUGUGGAUGUUGUAAGUAAUUUGCAAGAACACUAAUGAUUUCAUAGUGUAUGUGUGUAUGCAUUCACCGAUCAACUAACAAGAA
This is a long non-coding RNA of Acinonyx jubatus (cheetah), 574 nucleotides long. RefSeq lists it as uncharacterized. Lineage: Eukaryota; Metazoa; Chordata; Mammalia; Carnivora; Felidae. The record is from RefSeq and is a predicted model, not a curated record. The transcript has 3 exons.